AGCUUAUUUAGUUGGAGUUAUGAUGGCUGGGUAGCCAUCAUAACCACAAGAUAUUAUGCAAGUUUUGCUUGUGCUAGUAUUCACCUGUCAUCACCAAUAACAUCAAUGUCAUCCUUUGGAUAAACAGCAUCCAUCUUUGAUUGGAGAAACUACCGAUCGAGUUACGGAGCUCUUGGUGUGGGUGCAGUCACGAGGACACCCUUAUCCCUGUCUCGUCUAGUGGAUUCAACUAGUCUUCGGAUGGAGCACUUACAGUGGAUGCCUGGCUGUAUUUCCCAGGCUUAAAGGAAGAGAUGGAAGAGGAAGAAUGCUAAUCACCGUGAUUUAUACCAUCCCACCCAGGAAUAUUGGUCAACUUUCGAAUAUAUAUCUUCAAGGGCGAUGACAGUUGGAUGGUAACGGAUUCCAGCGCAACACAAUGCCCAGGAACCCCGGACAACCUGCAAUCAACAAUUCAACAAAUGGGAAAUAAAUGGCGCUAUGAGUAGAUACUAGACACCAAGGACAUACACAUACCCGUGUUCAACGGCCCUAUUACCGCCCGAUAAAAGGGGCUGCCUCUUUUAUAAUAUUAUUUUUCCUUUUUUCUUUUAUAAGCAGUUCUCUCUACUCUCCCCAUCAUCAGCUGUGGGCUAGACAUUCAAGUUAAUCAUCCGAGAUGAAUAAGGGACGACCCGAUAAUAAGAUGAAAGCGGGGAAUAAAUAAAAACCAAAAAAAGUUGACCCACCGCUUCCAGCAGGCCGUGACCAAGUGCUUUGAACCGGGACCACCACCGGCCAUCAUCAGCCCCACUCGGCUGUUGCCUACCACUCGGCUCGGACUUGACCUCCUCCGGUGUCGAGUUGUUCUCCAUCGCGACGGGUAACUUUUGUUUCGGGCAGCGGGGACCAAGGAGAAGAAACAAAACAAGGAAAUAAAAGGCAACACGAAACUUUUAUUCAUGAAGUGUAAAUAAAGAGGCAGGUGACUGUAGACUACUAUAGAGCCCUACUUCCUACCCUACCUACUUCUUUUCUGGUUGGGAAUUGAAAUGGCGACUGGCCAUCGUCCGUCGUUUGAGUAGUAAUAAAGAGUCAAGUCAACGAUAGGACGACGUCGCCCCGACAAGUCGUUAAAGGCGCAGGCCGCAAAUUACCAUAAUGUGAAACUGAAUUGGAUAAGAAAAGUUUCCGCUUAAGUAAUGGACUCUUAGCGUUCAAAAAUUGAUGGCUUUCCACUUGUAACCAGAUAGAGUGGCAUGGCCAUCGCAUGCAAAUGAGGAAAGCCUAUCGCACCGGCGGCUCUCUUUUUCUUUUUUCUUUCACGUUGGAUUUCUUGCCAUGUUUUGAAUAUGUUUAUAUUCUUCCUACAGAUCCCCUAAAUGCUGAUUACCGCUUCGGUUGGUUAUUGGUUGUCGAUGUUUAUUGCUAUACGUACUAUUAUACUCGCCUACGACCAUUAGAUGUAUCAUCAUAAAGAUUUGUAUUUACAGCUCUUCUGUUUUCCAUGCGUUACUUUAUUUGAUAGAAGGUAACGGCUAACCUUGAAUUAUUAAAAACGCUAUUUAGAUUUUUUUUUCAUUUCACUACCAGCAACGCCACCUAGCUGUUGCAAAUGCAUUAGACAAAAUAAUUGCCAUCUGUUAUCGUUUAGAGUUAACUCAGUGCAAGCAAUGGAAUAGGGUCGUUGCGUGAAGGUUGAAGGGGAUUUCGGUUUUGGUUAAAAAAAUCGUGUAAAAAUAAAUAAAAAAUUUCAUGUGAAAAAUUCAAAAUUAAUGUAUGUUAUUGUGACAUCUCUUGUGUUUUGUAUUUCUCGCGUAAGUCCUCUCAUAAGUCUCAUUAUAAGAAGACCUUGUUUUGUUGUGAAUGUCAUGCAAGUUGAUCAGCGUCUAGAACAUAUUGUACGCGUCGAAUUGGAAUCAAAGUGCUCCUUUAGCCUAACUGUUUCAAUACAUUCAUUUUUGUUUCAUA
This 1950-nucleotide long non-coding RNA is filed under the name Daphnia pulicaria. Its description in RNAcentral is "uncharacterized LOC124314356". The record is from RNAcentral. Lineage: Eukaryota; Metazoa; Arthropoda; Branchiopoda; Diplostraca; Daphniidae.